Molecule: long non-coding RNA, 3747 nt
Organism: Passer domesticus (house sparrow)
Lineage: Eukaryota; Metazoa; Chordata; Aves; Passeriformes; Passeridae
Exons: 4
Source: RefSeq, a predicted model, not a curated record
GCAGCAGAUAUUCGUGCGCACAGACAUGUGCAUUGCACUUACACAUUCACAACUCUGCCAAAACGCUCAGGAAGUUGUGGAAUAAUUCGGUUGUUAACUAUGUACAUUUUUUAAGGAAGAAAAAAAAUCUAUUUAGCUUUCUAUGAGACGAUUUACAGAGGGAAGUGCAGAUGCCUUCAUGUACGUCGGCUUCUUUGGGGGUCACAGUCUAUUCCAGAGAGCCAGAACGCGUAAUUUUAUGAAGUAUAGCAUUUCCAAACACAGCGCAUCAAAUCGAUGGCUGUGCAGACUCCAUCCACGUAGACUCAGCACACGAGGCUCAGCCCUAAGCUCGCUCUUCCCGGCAGUUUUAAAACAAGGCACCAAUUAUUUAUAAGUCACAUAAUUAGAUAACCAUCACUCUUGAACUUUCCACCAGCUAAGAAUGUUUUAUCUUUCUCAACUGGGCACUGCUUACUGCCCUUCUUUGGUGUGUGUUUUCACUGCUCAUACCAUUCCUCUCCACCAAAACUCCACCAACUGCCCGAGACACCUCUCUCGUCCCCCGGCCCGAGUGCAGACAGCGGCCGAGCCGAUUGAAGACCACUGGAGUUAACCGCUGGUUAUGGGAACGGCCGGGGAGGAUCAGUGAGGAAGUUUGGUAAACUUGGAACAGCUGCCUCUUAGAAGCCAGCGUGUUUUAGCCCAGCUUUAACCUUGUUCUCUCCCGAGCAGCGUGUUGAUGUUUCGCCACUUGCUGACUGCAAGCAAGGCAGGGAGCGGCGUGCGCCGGGGUGCCCGUGCGGCUGCUCUCGCCCUCCGUUCGCACCGGCUCGCUGCUCUCCGGGGCUCAGCCCCGGGGACCGAGCGGCCCCGGCCUCUCUCCUCUCGCCCCAGCUCCGGCCCUGCUCUGCCGGCGCCUCCCUUUCGAGCGGGGCAGAGGAGCCGACGGGGACCUGCAUGUCCUCGCCGGCCGAGUGCCCCGGACCCGCGGGCAGGGCCGGGCACCGGCGAGCCGGGGCCUUGGGAGCCGCCGGCUGCCGGGCAGUGCUGCUGUCGGGGGCGGCGGCACGGCGGGGCCGGGGGUCUCACCGGGCCCGGGCAGCCCCCGCCGGCACGGGCGGCCCGCGGGAGCCCCACGGAGGCGCCGGCCGGCCCCGGGCGCGGGGGACGCGGCGGCCCGCGGCCGGUUCCGCCCGUGCCAGGGCACAGCCUUCCCUCUGCCCCGCGCCCCGCGGCGCCCAUCGAAAUGCGGGAGGUACUUCGCUUUCUCCCGGCGAAGAACAAAGAAGCAGCAGCUUUCAUUAAGGCUGGACCAGAUGAAUACGGAUCUGACAAGUUUGUUUAAAAACCCCACUGCCCACGCCCGAAAACGAUACUGCGCUUCUGUAAAAUACAAAGUGUUGUCAAUAACCAUUAUAGCAGCGAUAAUGAUCUGAGAAGAGAACAAAGACAUUUUGUAAUAUCUACAUAACUUUAUUAGAGCAAAAUUAUUUUAAAAUGCCUGCGAAUUCCCAAACCUCCUGAAUACAAAUGAAUAAAAGUUUUUCUUCGGGCUAAAAUCUUUGCUUGAAUGUAAAUUGUUUGGGUAAGUGAAUUCGCACAGCAGCAAAGUUUGUUUGUCUUAGUCCAGUAGCUUUGCUUUAACGAACCAGAUGUUUUGUCUGUAAAUUGUCCAGAGAACUUUCACAGUUCUGACAUGUAAUAAGCCCCAGAAAAUCAGAACUAGAAUAGCUGCGUCCCUGCGAUUAGGACCAGGCAUUUCGGGAAGAGCAUGGGGAAAAUAGGAAAGUGUAAGCACGCUCAGUGUCCUCCUAUUUGGAAACCUCAUUUUAAACUGGUGAAUUGUUCAUCUCCCCUUCCUAUACACACAGUCUUGUCCCUUGGUUGGACUACCAGGGACAUCAAGGAAGCUGCCUUUGCUUUGCAGGAUUGAACCUUCUUGGGGCCACAUGCAGGAUUUUUCUCCUCCUGGGAUGACGAGAGCUGUGGCAGUGUGUGCACAUUGUGUCAGACCUGAGAUCAGCUGCCAAGUGUGGACACCCACAGAAGGAUUUUCUUUACAGAACUAUCUUAAAAAUGGAAAUGUCUGUCUCCUCCAGCUAUGCUGGCAGACAGUGUUUACCCAAAGAUCCAGAUACACAAGACCUUGUUAUCAACUGCAGCUUUUACACAACUUUCAACAAUCAGACUGGAAUGAUACACAAACCACGGGGCUGGGGGUGCUGCAGAGAGGAUGCUGGACAACCACAGCUGCAAGAAAACGCAAACUGCCAAGUUCACACCCUAGUCCACCCCAUUGGAGGAUGCUGUCUGACCAUGCUCAGGUGUCUUGUACAAAGCCUACUCCUAUUUUUUUAAUGGACUUUCCAAACCUUUCCUCCUCUUGCUGUUGCAGAGAAUUCAGUGAACAUAUUCUCCCAUUACUAUGCUUAUGAUUUAAUAGUUGUGCCACAGAGAAUGGCCUUAAAAUGGGCAGAACUGAAACCAGCACCCUGAUGUGACACAAGAUGGAAAAACCAUAUAGGACAUAUAAAAUAAGACUAAGGCUGCUUAUCUGUGCUGUAUGAACAUUGUAAAUCUACUUUUGCUUUAAUUAAUUUUAAUUUCAUCAGGUUGCAGUUGGAGUUAGAAAUUUUUCCUUUUUUUCACAGAAGGAUUCACAAGAGGAGAAGGAAGAUCUUGCCUGAUCACAAGGCUUUAAAAUUGAAAGUAGUUUUUUUAUUUUAAAAACCUGGUUUCUAACAUAAAAAGACAUCAUUUAAUAGUUCCCACAAAUACAGGGACUAGGAGCUUCUAUUAAAUGACCAGGCAUCAGUCUUAAAACAAACAAAAGAAGUAUUUUAUCCUCACAGUGCGUAAUGAAAUUACAGAACUCAUGGCCACAGGAUGGUGUGGAGGUCAAAAGUGUAAAUGGACCAUAAAAGGGAUUACAUGAAAUCAUGCAAAUGAAAUCCAUCACUAGCUACUAAACAUGAUGAUCAAGAUCCAGCCUCCAAAUCAAAAUGUCUCUGACACUGAUCCUCAGAGGGCAGGAGCACACAGGGGAAGAAGGAUUGCUCUGUAUGAGAGAUAUAUCAGAGUUCAUACACUUUUUCCCCAGACAUUUGCUCUUCUCACUCUCAGAGGGAAAGCACUGGAUAUUUUUUCUGACUCAGGGUGGCAGCUACUGCGUGUGUUCUAAAGUCUUCAAAAAUCUGAACUCAUUUUAUUUGACACUGUAUGUUUUAGAAAUGUUUCCAUUUGAAAUUCAAGAUAAUUAGGGCGAAAAGCCUGAAAAGAGUCAAACAGAGGGCAAAAAGAAAUAAAAGCACCCAGAAAAGAUGGAGUUCAGAACAUUUUUUAUGAAAGUCGUAUUUUGCCAUAGAUUUGUGCAUCAGGGUCUCAUUUUGCACUACAGAAAAAUAUUUCCAUCCAAUGAUUGCAAGAAUGGAAGCCCCCAAUACAGAAACCUAUGCAGUGCCCACCCUCCAAGGUGGCUGAGAAGCUGAAGCAACCUGACAGAACCAUCCUGUAAAUCUGAAAUGUGUCCCUGUGGCCUCUGCAGUGCUGAAAUCACUGCUCGCCUUUGCUUUCACUGCGUUGAAUAAUUUUGGCCUCUCCCUUUCUGUGUGAGUCAGGUUGUGAAAACUGAGCCUUCUCUGGCCUCCAGGAUUCAUAAACACCUGCCCCAUUAGCCCACUUUCACUAUUUGUCUAAUGACAACCACAAGUAAUGACCUGACUCAAGGCAUGUCAAUAUUCUGCCAAAAACUACCAUUUUGCCCUC